CCACAGCCUGUGUUGGGGGCCAAAGAAGACACAGUGACAGGCCUUGGAGAACACAAGGUCCAACCUUUGAUGUUUACACAAGAGAGAAAUUGGGCAGGGAGAGCCACCUACCCCACAGCUCAGGGCUGGAUGAUGGGCCCAACUGCUUGGUGUCUGGGAGCAGAGUGGCUGGGACUCCUGCAGGAUUCCCGGGCCAGCCUGGGGAGCCAGGCUGAAGAGAACCCAAGGGAGGGCCUCCUCUGCCCACCCCGGGGGCAGCCACCAAGGAACCUGCGACCAGGAGAGGAGGGGAGGGGGCUUUCCCCUUCCUGCCCUGACCAACCACCCUCAGGAAGCCACCAGAAGGUGCUCGCCUGCCUGCCCCUGCCCAGCCUGGAUGCCUGCCCUCUGCUUGGAUAGCAAGGGGUAGGAAGCUUCUCCCAGGUCCCGGUGGGGGGCACAGAGGUCAGAAGGCUCUGGGAGUCAGGCUAGGAGGGGGGUUUCUGGAAAGGAGGAUUUUGCCUUCCCACCCCCACUCUUUCCUCCCCACAGGGUUGGGUGGAGGAGGCCUGGGCUGGAUUAGAUGUGCAAAUCGUCCAACUUGGCCCUCAGGCUUCUGUGGUUGAACCUUGACCUGCUCUGUCUGCAGAACUCCAGGGACUGGGGACCUGGUCAAGGUGGGAGAGAGGGACCCCUUCCCAAUGAGUUCAGCAAAUGAGCAACAGCCGGAGACCUGACCCAGGGCAUUGGGACCCCAUAGGCUUAGGUUCCUCUGUGAAAUGCCGCAAUGGGCGCCACGUUUGGGCACUGGGCCUCAGUGAGUUCCAUGUGGGCGCGACCACAGGCCACCAAAAGCCAAACCUUCAUUGUGUGCACAAGAUAGGCAAGGCCCCUCCUCUCUCUGAGCCUCUGUCCCAGCAGGGCAGGAGACACAAAUGGUACAUGAGGAUAAGGUUAGUUUGUGAUAUGACAGGGUUGGACAUAGUCUCCUUGGGCUUCUUUGUGCCUCUGGAGAAGCUGGGGACCUGCGCCUGGAGGGGCAGAUUCCAGUUUUCUGCCAGAACAUCUUGAUAACACAUUGCUUUGGGCGCUUGUGCAAGGAUCUCCGGGUCACUGGACGGAAGCCCCACGCACUUCAGACACCACAUCUCCUCUGCUCCCGCAGUGGCCCCGGCACUUGGAGUGGUGUCUGGCACCCAGUGGGCAUCCAGUACAUGAUGGAUGGAUGGAUGAGUGAGGUUUUGUCUUAGAUGCAGACCCUGAGACAAGGAACUGCAUGCAGAUAACUUUACCUGGAAGGCAAUUCCAGGCAGCACUAGUGGUGGGGCAGUGGGGAGGUGAGGCUGAGAAGGGGCAGAAGUCAGUAAGCAUUAAUGACAGUGCGUUAAUGAGUGAACAAGCCUGUGGGCAAAGAGGCUCCACUCAGCUGGGGAGCUCUGGGAGAUGAUGGGGAACAUGCCUCCGAUUGUCCCCACCCAAGGGGUGACAGAGCUGACAUAUUGAUGCCUCAGCUCCUGUCUGUCCCCGCUGAGGUGGCUCUGAGGUGGGGGAGGGGUGUUGACUUCUGACUUCCCCUGCACGUGGGGACUGUGGGUGCUCAGGGUAUAAGGAGGGAGGGGGCAUCUGCCACAAUGUAGAUGCUUAGUGGCAUGGCUGGGUCCCAGGACACCCUGCUCACACCGCUUUCCAGCUGUUCUCCAGAAAGGCUGCCUGCUUGGUAGUGCCUUAGUUUUCCCACAUUGAUAACAUCCAGCCUUUAAAAAAAUUGUACAAAAUCUGCAUCACAUAGAAUUUACCAUCUUAAAACCAUUCUUACAUGUACAGUUCAGUGGCAUUACGCACAUUCAUGGCAUUCUGCAGCCGUCCCCACCAUCCACUCCAGACCUUUCCAUCUUCCCAGACUGAACCUCUGUCCCCAUGAAACAGUCACUCCGUGUCCCCUUUCUGAACCCCCAGCCCCACCACCCACUUUCUGUCUCUGUGGAUGGGGCUCCUCUGGGGACCUCCUAGGAGUGGGAUCAGAGAGGAUUCAUCCUCUUACAUCUGGCUUAUUUCACUGAGCACCGUGUCCUCAAGGUCCACCCACGUUGUA
Non-coding RNA from Manis javanica (Malayan pangolin), 2071 nucleotides. Lineage: Eukaryota; Metazoa; Chordata; Mammalia; Pholidota; Manidae. The record is from RefSeq and is a predicted model, not a curated record.